GACGAACGCUGGCGGCGUGCUUAACACAUGCAAGUCGAACGGAAAGGCCCUGCUUUUGUGGGGUGCUCGAGUGGCGAACGGGUGAGUAACACGUGAGUAACCUGCCCUUGACUUUGGGAUAACUUCAGGAAACUGGGGCUAAUACCGGAUAGGAGCUCCUGCUGCAUGGUGGGGGUUGGAAAGUUUCGGCGGGUGGGGAUGGACUCGCGGCUUAUGAGCUUGUUGGUGGGGUAGUGGCUUACCAAGGCUGUGACGGGUAGCCGGCCUGAGAGGGUGACCGGCCACAUGGGUACUGAGAGACGGCGCAGACUCCUACGGGAGGCAGCAGUGGGGAAUAUUGCACAAUGGGCGGAAGCCUGAUGCAGCAACGCCGCGUGCGGGAUGACGGCCUUCGGGUUGUAAACCGCUUUCGCCUGUGACGAAGCGUGAGUGACGGUAAUGGGUAAAGAAGCACCGGCUAACUACGUG
This 468-nucleotide ribosomal RNA is filed under the name uncultured bacterium. RNAcentral describes it as "partial 16S ribosomal RNA". It matches the Rfam family "Bacterial small subunit ribosomal RNA", at positions 28 to 507 of the family's 1533-position model. The record is from RNAcentral.